UGGGGAAUUUUGGACAAUGGGGGGAAACCCUGAUCCAGCCAUCCCGCGUGUGCGAUGAAGGCCUUCGGGUUGUAAAGCACUUUUGGCAGGAAAGAAACGUCGCGGGUUAAUACCCCGCGAAACUGACGGUACCUGCAGAAUAAGCACCGGCUAACUACGUGCCAGCAGCCGCGGUAAUACGUAGGGUGCAAGCGUUAAUCGGAAUUACUGGGCGUAAAGCGUGCGCAGGCGGUUCGGAAAGAAAGAUGUGAAAUCCCAGAGCUUAACUUUGGAACUGCAUUUUUAACUACCGGGCUAGAGUGUGUCAGAGGGAGGUGGAAUUCCGCGUGUAGCAGUGAAAUGCGUAGAUAUGCGGAGGAACACCGAUGGCGAAGGCAGCCUCCUGGGAUAACACUGACGCUCAUGCACGAAAGCGUGGGGAGCAAACAGGAUUAGAUACCCUGGUAGUCCACGCCCUAAACGAUGUCAACUAGCUGUUGGGGCCUUCGGGCCUUGGUAGCGCAGCUAACGCGUGAAGUUGACCGCCUGGGGAGUACGGUCGCAAG
RNAcentral lists this ribosomal RNA (545 nucleotides) under uncultured bacterium. RNAcentral's name for it is "partial 16S ribosomal RNA". It matches the Rfam family "Bacterial small subunit ribosomal RNA", at positions 355 to 892 of the family's 1533-position model. The record is from RNAcentral.